AUAGCUUUAGGGCUAGCCUCAAGGUGAGAGAUACGGAGGUAGAGCACUGAAUGUCCUAGGGGGUAUUGCACCUACCGAAGACUAUCAAACUCCGAAUGCCGUCAUCUUAUACUUGGGAGUCAGACUGUGGGUGAUAAGAUUCAUAGUCGAAAGGGCAACAGCCCAGAUCGUCAGCUAAGGUCCCUAAAUGUAAGUUAAGUGGUAAAGGAUGUGGGAUUGCACAGACAACCAGGAUGUUGGCUUAGAAGCAGCCACUCAUUCAAAGAGUGCGUAAUAGCUCACUGGUCGAGUGAUCCUGCGCCGAAGAUUUCCGGGGCUAAAACUUACUACCGAAGCUACGGCAUCAGUAAUGAUGGGUAGGGGGGCUUCCCAUACGGGUUGAAGCAUGACCGUAAGGACAUGUGGACAGUAUGGGAGUGAGAAUGUUGGCAUGAGUAGCGAGAUGUGGGUGGGAAUCCCACAGGCCGUAAACCCAAGGUUUCCAGGGGAAG
This 491-nucleotide ribosomal RNA is filed under the name Clostridioides difficile. Its description in RNAcentral is "bacterial LSU rRNA". It matches the Rfam family "Bacterial large subunit ribosomal RNA", at positions 864 to 1363 of the family's 2925-position model. Lineage: Bacteria; Bacillati; Bacillota; Clostridia; Peptostreptococcales; Peptostreptococcaceae. The record is from RNAcentral.